UCUCCAGCAUCUAUUUGGAGCACCCCUAAACUUGUGGGUCUCCCAGGGAGGCAGAGCCCUCCUCCUACCCUAGAAACCAGACCUAACUUUCCCAGCCUCCCUUGCAGCUGCAGUGCAGGCAUAUGACCUGGCUCAGCCAAUCAGAUGCAACCACCCAGGAACUCUGAAUCUUAAGCCCAUGAGCAGAGAUGGGAUGUAUCUGACAGAACUGGCUGUAGCAGCAGGACGAGUUUUCUGGGGCAGUGGAGCCUCAGGGCCAGUUUCUCUGUUGUCUGCUCUGGUCUCACCCUGAGGUGUGAUUUGGGCUGGGUUCUGGCUGUGGCCUGGUGCUCCUUGGUUCCUGGGCCAGCCCGAGGAGUCUGUGAGUGUCCUGUUGCAACAAAGAAUCCUGACUGAUAAAUACAGAGAAGUCAGCAUUAUGGGAACAGAGAGGAGCUGGGGCCUGAAGUGUGGACCCAUCAGGAUGGUUUCAUCUCUCAUUCGAUGUGGCAGGAUAUCAUGGAAUAGUGGUUACAAGCGUGUGAACUCGGGAAUCGGACAGAUUUGAGUGGGCAUCGUAGCUUCUACUCUUACUAACUGUUACAUCAGCAAAGCCCUCUGAGCCUCAGUUUAUUCAUCUGUAAAAUGAGGACAAGCCUAGUAUCAACCUAAGAGCUUGGUUGUGAAGAAUGAAUUGAGGUAGAGACAAAAUGCCUAGACCCACAGUGAAUGCGAGUCAUUAUUACCCCUAAUAACAACUCCAGAGAGUUGAGGUGGGGCUCUCAGUGCAGGCUAGUGUCCCUGAGGCUCUGAGCCCUGCUCCUACUUCUGCCAGCCUGUCGGGCUAGUUCCACUUCAAGCCAGGGCGAAAUGAGAAAGCUCGGCAUGUUUCGGGCCUUUGGGGGAGACUGAGAACAGCUGAACCCGUGAAUGAUGCCUCUGCAGGUGCCAGGGACCCACGGCCCCACCCUCACCCAACGCCAGAGCGCUGCCUGCCAGACCCUUGUCAGCGGUUACAACCUCCAACUGCCUCCCGCUGCCCCAGUUUUAUCAAAAGCUCAGUUGAGAGAAAUAAAGUUCAUGGGGGUUAUUUAAA
Molecule: long non-coding RNA, 1075 nt
Organism: Camelus dromedarius (Arabian camel)
Lineage: Eukaryota; Metazoa; Chordata; Mammalia; Artiodactyla; Camelidae
Exons: 2
Source: RefSeq, a predicted model, not a curated record